UGGGGUGAUGGCCUACCAAGGCGACGACGGGUAGCCGGCCUGAGAGGGCGACCGGCCACACUGGGACUGAGACACGGCCCAGACUCCUACGGGAGGCAGCAGUGGGGAAUAUUGCACAAUGGGCGGAAGCCUGAUGCAGCGACGCCGCGUGAGGGAUGACGGCCUUCGGGUUGUAAACCUCUUUCAGCAGGGACGAAGCGUAAGUGACGGUACCUGCAGAAGAAGCACCGGCCAACUACGUGCCAGCAGCCGCGGUAAGACGUAGGGUGCGAGCGUUGUCCGGAUUUAUUGGGCGUAAAGAGCUCGUAGGCGGCUUGUCGCGUCGACCGUGAAAACUUGGGGCUCAACCCCAAGCCUGCGGUCGAUACGGGCAGGCUAGAGUUCGGUAGGGGAGACUGGAAUUCCUGGUGUAGCGGUGAAAUGCGCAGAUAUCAGGAGGAACACCGGUGGCGAAGGCGGGUCUCUGGGCCGAUACUGACGCUGAGGAGCGAAAGCGUGGGGAGCGAACAGGAUUAGAUACCCUGGUAGUCCACGCUGUAAACGUUGGGCGCUAGGUGUGGGGGGCCUCUCCGGUUUCCUGUGCCGCAGCUAACGCAUUAAGCGCCCCGCCUGGGGAGUACGG
This 622-nucleotide ribosomal RNA is filed under the name Micromonospora sp. MP38-B10. Its description in RNAcentral is "bacterial SSU rRNA". It matches the Rfam family "Bacterial small subunit ribosomal RNA", at positions 253 to 885 of the family's 1533-position model. The record is from RNAcentral. Lineage: Bacteria; Bacillati; Actinomycetota; Actinomycetes; Micromonosporales; Micromonosporaceae. RNAcentral also lists the same sequence under 3 other names.